This 1940-nucleotide long non-coding RNA is filed under the name Canis lupus familiaris (dog). RNAcentral describes it as "lncRNA (ENSCAFG00845001198.1)". Lineage: Eukaryota; Metazoa; Chordata; Mammalia; Carnivora; Canidae. The record is from RNAcentral.
AUUGUUCACUUGGUGAGGUUGCUAGGCCUUUUGUCCAUUAGAAUUUGCUACAGGUAGUUCAAUAGGCUAUGCACUCCAAAUAGUUGUUCUCCCUGGUGAUAAAACAAAAAAGUAUUCCUGCUGUGCAUCACCCCCUCUUCCCUCUUGGCAGGGUAGGGGGGGAAGGGUUGAGGCAAAUGAAUUACAACUGUGCUCUAUCCAAAUGCUUGUGGGGGGUUCUGGAGAAAAUCCCUCCCCGUGUGCUUUACCUGAGUCUCCACCCUCAGAUCUCCAGCUUUUGAAAGUAGCAUGGAUAGGGAAGUUGUUUUCCUUUCAAAGAAGGACAUGUAAUAAUAAUUUUUCCCAUGUCAGAGUGUAGAGAUGAUGCAUGAGACCAGAUUGAUGGGCCCAACCCACAAACCACUAUAUUCUGUGGGGAGGGAAUCUCUAAGGGGUAAGGCAGGGUUUUUCUACAUCUUGUCCCAUAACCCACUCUUGGGAUAGGGUGCUGAGGACUGUCCCAAGCAAUGGGUUGUGACAGUAGCCACAGGGAUUGUUGGGGGAAUAGCUACAGACCUCCUGCUCCUAAGCCUAAUCCCACCCCAUUCUGGGCUGAUAGGAUUUUAUUUAUUUGCUCCCUUGGACAACCGCACCUUGGGCCCCACUUUCUCCAGGAUGCCAGCUGCACUAGCUGUGUGCAAAUGACGUGUCCUGUGCAUUUUAACUUUUUUUUUCGUAAUACAAAUAUUCUGGUUUUUGUAUUUUUGUGUGUAUUUUAAUCUUAAGGCCCUCGUUCCUGCACUGUGUUCUCAGGUACAUGAACAAUCUCAGGGAUAAGUCGGCAGCAGCUCCAGGUCUGCACAGCAGGAAUUGUUGAAAUGGGGCAGAUGCAAUAGAACACAUUGGGUGAUGUGUGUCUGAUCCUGGGUUCUCGUCUCCCCUGCUUGCUGCCCCCCUCUAGUGAUUGUAUUUGUCUGGGUUUUGUAGGUUUUCAUGAAUAGCUGAUUGGGUGAUUGCUAGGUGGCCUGCUUUGUGUAAAUAUAAUGUGUUGGUCUUCUCCAUGUCCUUUUGGGGUUUUAUUGUUUACAAACUUUUCUGUAUUGAGAAAAAUAGCCAAAGCAUCUUUGACAAAAGGUUCUGCACCAGGAAAAGAAACUGGAACGUAGCUUGGUGACCCCUCUUAAAGUGUGGCGGCCUUGGACUAUCCUUUUGUAUUCCCUUCCCGUAUUUCCUUUUUUGGGCCAGAUCUUCUGUCCUAAAAACUUAACUCCUACCCUACCCUUCUAUCCCCCCCCCCUCCCAAGAAAAGGCCCCACACAUACACAUUUCACAUUCUAAAGAAGCGAAGAACACUUCCUCCCUUGUUCCCAAACUCCUGUGUCAAGACCAUUCCUUGAUGUGAUUCAUACUAAUAUACUUGUAUUUGGAUGAACAAACCUACUUUAAUCUCUCCAGGCUGAGGGUAGAGGGAAGCAGAAGCAACGAGGGGGGCCUUGAAUGUAGAAAGUAGGGUCAGGAGACCAAGAAAGGAAGAUGAAUGUAUAUCCAAGUCACUCAGGAACUUUUAUGCAGGUGCAAGAAACUUCUGUCAAAGUGGCCACAAGAUUGUUUAAUAGGAGAUGGACAAAUGUAACUCCAUGUUUACUGCUAGAAACCAAAGCUUUGUGAAAUCUUGAUUUUAUUGGGGCGAGGAGGGGGGUGGUAGUAGGAAAGCUGUACCUAUCUGUUCUUAACCUGAUCCCUUCCCCUCAUUUCUGAACUGCAGGAGACUGAGCCCUCUUGGGCUUUAGUGACUCCAUCUCUGGGGAAUGUUUAUUUGAUGGUUGAUGUUGCUGUGCCGGGUACUUCCUUUCCCACUUGAUAUUGUCUUGUAACACACAUGCUGACCCUUUUCCCUUCUCUCUUUACCUUGGGAAAAUACAAUGAAUAAAAACUUAUUGGUACUGGAAAAAAAAAAAAAA